Molecule: ribosomal RNA, 1095 nt
Filed under: Chaetoceros affinis
Lineage: Eukaryota; Bacillariophyta; Thalassiosirophyceae; Chaetocerotales; Chaetocerotaceae
Description: partial Bacterial large subunit ribosomal RNA
Rfam family: Bacterial large subunit ribosomal RNA
Source: RNAcentral
AGUGGGAAACGAUGUGGGAAGGCUCAGACAGCUAGGAGGUUGGCUUAGAAGCAGCCAUCCUUUAAAGAAAGCGUAAUAGCUCACUAGUCGAGUCGGCCUGCGCGGAAGAUGUAACGGGGCUCAAACCAUACACCGAAGCUACGGGUAUCAUCUUCGGAUGAUGCGGUAGAGGAGCGUUCUGUAAGCCUGUGAAGGUGAGUUGAGAAGCUUGCUGGAGGUAUCAGAAGUGCGAAUGCUGACAUGAGUAACGACAAAGGGGGUGAAAAACCCCCUCGCCGGAAGACCAAGGUUUCCUGCCCCAUGCUAAUCAGGGCAGGGUUAGUCGGCCCCUAAGGUGAGGCUGAAAAGCGUAAUCGAUGGGAAACGGGUUAAUAUUCCCGUACUUGUUAUAACUGCGAUGGAGGGACGGAGUAGGCUAGGCGAUCGCGGCGUUGGUUGUCCGCGUUUAAGCUAGUAGGCUGAGGACUUAGGCAAAUCCGGGUCCUUAAGGCUGAGAGGUGAUGACGAGCUCUCUUUUGAGUGAAGUCGUUGAUGCCAUGCUUCCAAGAAAAUCUUCUAAGCUUCAGGUUAUAACGAACCGUACCCCAAACCGACACAGGUGGUCAGGUAGAGAAUACCAAGGCGCUUGAGAGAACUCGGGUGAAGGAACUAGGCAAAAUGGUACCGUAACUUCGGGAGAAGGUACGCCGGUUUUGGUGAUGGGACUUGCUCCCUAAGCUGAGGCUGGCCGAAGUGACCAGGUGGCUGCGACUGUUUAUCAAAAACAUAGCACUCUGCAAACACGAAAGUGGACGUAUAGGGUGUGACGCCUGCCCGGUGCCGGAAGGUUAAUUGAUGGGGUUAGCGUAAGCGAAGCUCUUGAUCGAAGCCCCGGUAAACGGCGGCCGUAACAAUAACGGUCCUAAGGUAGCGAAAUUCCUUGUCGGGUAAGUUCCGACCUGCACGAAUGGCGUAACGAUGGCCACGCUGUCUCCACCCGAGACUCAGUGAAAUUGAAAUUGCGGUUAAGAUGCCGUAUACCCGCGGCUAGACGGAAAGACCCCGUGAACCUUUACUAUAGCUUCACAGUGGACUCUGAUAUUACUUGUGUAGGAU